AGGCGACGAUCCCUAGCUGGUCUGAGAGGAUGACCAGCCACACUGGAACUGAGACACGGUCCAGACUCCUACGGGAGGCAGCAGUGGGGAAUAUUGCACAAUGGGCGCAAGCCUGAUGCAGCCAUGCCGCGUGUAUGAAGAAGGCCUUCGGGUUGUAAAGUACUUUCAGCGGGGAGGAAGGGAGUAAAGUUAAUACCUUUGCUCAUUGACGUUACCCGCAGAAGAAGCACCGGCUAACUCCGUGCCAGCAGCCGCGGUAAUACGGAGGGUGCAAGCGUUAAUCGGAAUUACUGGGCGUAAAGCGCACGCAGGCGGUUUGUUAAGUCAGAUGUGAAAUCCCCGGGCUCAACCUGGGAACUGCAUCUGAUACUGGCAAGCUUGAGUCUCGUAGAGGGGGGUAGAAUUCCAGGUGUAGCGGUGAAAUGCGUAGAGAU
This 434-nucleotide ribosomal RNA is filed under the name Escherichia sp. RNAcentral describes it as "bacterial SSU rRNA". It matches the Rfam family "Bacterial small subunit ribosomal RNA", at positions 271 to 697 of the family's 1533-position model. Lineage: Bacteria; Pseudomonadati; Pseudomonadota; Gammaproteobacteria; Enterobacterales; Enterobacteriaceae. The record is from RNAcentral.